GCGGCUGUCGUAUAACGGUUAUUACCCUAGCCUUCCAAGCUAGAGACGACGGUUCGACUCCGUUCAGCCGCU
Molecule: transfer RNA, 72 nt
Filed under: Treponema sp.
Lineage: Bacteria; Pseudomonadati; Spirochaetota; Spirochaetia; Treponematales; Treponemataceae
Description: tRNA-Gly
Rfam family: tRNA
About the family: Transfer RNA (tRNA) molecules are approximately 80 nucleotides in length.
Source: RNAcentral